UAUCCAGCGGCCUUUGCCGCCGCCGAGUCCGGCGGCCACUGCCGUUGUGUAUAGCGACCACCACAGACUCUCCUGGCGUCUAGCGCCCCCUCCUCUUUUGGUGUCCAGCGCCGCCGCCUCUUCAGGCGUCCAGCUUCGCCGCCUCCGAUGAUUACUGUCGCCACUGCCUUAGGCGGCUACUAUUUCCAGCGGCCACCAGCACUACCUCCGGUGAGUGUCGCCCCCCGGCGACAACCACCGUCAUCCUCCGGACAGCCGCCGUUCGAGUGCUCAGGUAUCAUACUAUUUAUCUAUUCCGGCCUGCGAGCCGAUAUGGUGUCCGGCCUUUGAGCCGCUAUUGUAUUUUGGCCUGUGAGCCAAUAGAGUGUCCAGCCUUCAUGCCACUGUUGUAUUUCGGCCGCCGUCCGAGUGCUCAGUUGGAUCGCGCGUCGUCUUGCGGAUCCAUACCGCGUUCGAGCUCGAGUCGCCAGAGCCAACUACUCAUCUGGUGGACCUUUAUCUCCUCGUCAGGGCCACGAUGACCCGAUCAGCACCGUGAUCAAUUCACCCAUCCAUCCGAGGGCACCCCCCAGGGUCAGGGUACGUCCCUGUAUUCAUAUCUCAUUUACGUCAUUAUUCUACUAUUCAUUUAUUCAACUGCUUAUGCAUUAUUGGGAUCCACCUCGAGCAUCGGGGUACCAGAGACCGGGGCGACCCGGUUGAUGGCUACAGGUGUUGUUGACCAGAGGAUUCCGGAUGACUUGGUCAACACAGGAGACAGCUCACCAUCCGGGUCAUGGAGAUGCGGUCAACAUUCUAGACACGUCAUUCCGGCAGGGCUUGGGAGCUCGCAUGCACAUUUCUCGAGUGAAAGUUUCCAUCGUACGAUCCUCUGCAUGAUCAUGCCACCAACUAUGUCGUCUGUCGGAGGCACGGGCUCCCAGAAGGAUAUCGCUAGACCCUCCUUUUGUCCAUUACUGGUCCGAGCGGGUGAGCGUUCGGCCAACCUUCAGCUGUCCGGACGUUAUCGUUCUCGGGCCGAGCGGGAUGGUCGCUCGGCCAACCUUCCACUGUUCGAGCUCCGCUAUUGUGCUGAGUGGAGCUGUGUCUGAAUGUAUUUACUUAGUCGCGACCCCGCUUUGUUUGUUCCAAUGUUUGAUGGAAGUCCGAGCGGCUGACCACUCGGCGUAUGUCUCAUCGACACAUAAUUCUCUGAGUGUCAGAAGUUCGGUACAUGGCCGAGCUAUGAUAAUAUUAGAUCAGAUAUUUUUUAUUCCGGUCGAACAAGUGGGUUACCCGAUCGGCCGAUGAUGUAGGAGAAUUGAUCACGUCUUGACUUUGACUUCUACCGUGACUUUAUCCCUCCAUGAGGUGAGUCCCUUAUCCCCGUAUCAUGCAUCAAAGAAUCUUCUCAUGUUUAAAUUGCUUUGUGUAGAUCUCAAUGAUUUAGUGGCGGUGAUGAAA
Molecule: long non-coding RNA, 1443 nt
Organism: Zingiber officinale
Lineage: Eukaryota; Viridiplantae; Streptophyta; Magnoliopsida; Zingiberales; Zingiberaceae
Exons: 3
Source: RefSeq, a predicted model, not a curated record